AUUGAACGCUGGCGGCAGGCCUAACACAUGCAAGUCGAACGGUAACAGGAAGCAGCUUGCUGCUUCGCUGACGAGUGGCGGACGGGUGAGUAAUGUCUGGGAAACUGCCUGAUGGAGGGGGACAACUACUGGAAACGGUAGCUAAUACCGCAUAACGUCGCAAGACCAAAGAGGGGGACCUUAGGGCCUCUUGCCAUCGGAUGUGCCCAGAUGGGAUUAGCUAGUAGGUGGGGUAACGGCUCACCUAGGCGACGAUCCCUAGCUGGUCUGAGAGGAUGACCAGCCACACUGGAACUGAGACACGGUCCAGACUCCUACGGGAGGCAGCAGUGGGGAAUAUUGCACAAUGGGCGCAAGCCUGAUGCAGCCAUGCCGCGUGUAUGAAGAAGGCCUUCGGGUUGUAAAGUACUUUCAGCGGGGAGGAAGGGAGUAAAGUUAAUACCUUUGCUCAUUGACGUUACCCGCAGAAGAAGCACCGGCUAACUCCGU
This 489-nucleotide ribosomal RNA is filed under the name uncultured bacterium. RNAcentral's name for it is "partial 16S ribosomal RNA". It matches the Rfam family "Bacterial small subunit ribosomal RNA", at positions 30 to 506 of the family's 1533-position model. The record is from RNAcentral.